RNAcentral lists this ribosomal RNA (270 nucleotides) under uncultured archaeon. RNAcentral's name for it is "partial 16S ribosomal RNA". It matches the Rfam family "Archaeal small subunit ribosomal RNA", at positions 477 to 747 of the family's 1478-position model. The record is from RNAcentral.
CAGCACCUCAAGUGGUCAGGAUGAUUAUUGGGCCUAAAGCAUCCGUAGCCGGCUCUGUAAGUUUUCGGUUAAAUCUGUACGCUCAACGUACAGGCUGCCGGGAAUACUGCAGAGCUAGGGAGUGGGAGAGGUAGACGGUACUCGGUAGGAAGGGGUAAAAUCCUUUGAUCUAUUGAUGACCACCUGUAGCGAAGGCGGUCUACCAGAACACGUCCGACGGUGAGGGAUGAAAGCUGGGGGAGCAAACCGGAUUAGAGACCCGAGUAGUCC